AGAGGCUGUGCUCUGGGGCUCCGGAUCCUCAGAGAGCCUCGGCUAGAUAAUAUGGCUGAACCUAAGAAAAAAAUUAGACAACAUAGUAUUGAGUAUUUGAAUUACGGGUUUAUUUAUUCGCCUAUAAACAAUAUAGUCUCGUAACUCAAGCUUUGAAGACUCGUUAUGUAAGUAUUUUAAAACAUCUUGGUUCUCUACACAGCUUGAUAAGUCAACUUUGCCAGCCCUAAAGACAGGACGCAUUACCUCUGCAAUGUGAAGAAAAUUAUUUUUAUUGACUAAAGAUCUUGAAGAAAGAAGACAAGCUAUGUGGAAGGAAUCAUACUGGAUUGUUGGUGAUUUGCACCCUCUAGUGGGAGCUUGAUCAAAAGAGGAAUGCGCUGACAAAAAUUCCAACAUGGAAGUAUUGGAAAUAGAUUCUUUUUUUUAAAAAUGGUGUACGUGAAUUCUUGAGCAAACACGGGAGGGGUCGUGGAAUUGAGUUGUUGAAGGAAAUAUGUACAAAGCAGCAUGUAACAAAAAGUUCAUAAAUGUGUGCAAAAAACCCAUGUAACAAAAAUGUUCUUAAUAUGUGCUUAAUGUUCUUAAUGUGCUUACCCAAACUGUUAAUCAGAAUAUAUGUUAACUAAUAUGAAGAAUCGCUAAUAAACGUACGUGGUACUAGUCAUACUGAACUGUGUAUAAAAACUGCCUUUUCCAGAUUGACAGGGCACCACAUACUUUCACUUUGUGAUGCCCCAUGUGAGUAGCUGUUUUCAAUAAAACUUUGUGCUUACUCAGA
Echinops telfairi (small Madagascar hedgehog) is the source of this 781-nucleotide long non-coding RNA. RefSeq lists it as uncharacterized. NCBI's taxonomy places the organism in Eukaryota, Metazoa, Chordata, Mammalia, Afrosoricida, Tenrecidae. The transcript is spliced from 3 exons. The record is from RefSeq and is a predicted model, not a curated record.